RNAcentral lists this ribosomal RNA (214 nucleotides) under uncultured Streptococcaceae bacterium. RNAcentral describes it as "partial 16S ribosomal RNA". It matches the Rfam family "Bacterial small subunit ribosomal RNA", at positions 125 to 334 of the family's 1533-position model. The record is from RNAcentral. Lineage: Bacteria; Bacillati; Bacillota; Bacilli; Lactobacillales; Streptococcaceae.
CCUGCCUGGUAGCGGGGGAUAACUAUUGGAAACGAUAGCUAAUACCGCAUAAGAGUAGAUGUUGCAUGACAUUUGCUUAAAAGGUGCAAUUGCACCACUACCAGAUGGACCUGCGUUGUAUUAGCUAGUUGGUGGGGUAACGGCUCACCAAGGCGACGAUACAUAGCCGACCUGAGAGGGUGAUCGGCCACACUGGGACUGAGACACGGCCCAG